GACGAACGCUGGCGGCGUGCCUAAUACAUGCAAGUAGAACGCUGAAGGAGGAGCUUGCUCUUAUGGAUGAGUUGCGAACGGGUGAGUAACGCGUAGGUAACCUGCCUGGUAGCGGGGGAUAACUAUUGGAAACGAUAGCUAAUACCGCAUAAGAGUAGAUGUUGCAUGACAUUUACUUAAAAGGUGCAAUUGCAUCACUACCAGAUGGACCUGCGUUGUAUUAGCUAGUUGGUGGGGUAACGGCUUACCAAGGCGACGAUACAUAGCCGACCUGAGAGGGGGAUCGGCCACACUGGGACUGAGACACGGCCCAGACUCCUAAGGGGGGCAGCAGGAGGGAAUCUUCGGCAAUGGACGGAAGUCUGACCGAGCAACGCCGCGUGAGUGAAGAAGGUUUUCGGAUCGUAAAGCUCUGUUGUAAGAGAAGAACGAGUGUGAGAGUGGAAAGUUCACACUGUGACGGUAUCUUACCAGAAAGGGACGGCUAACUACGUG
Molecule: ribosomal RNA, 495 nt
Filed under: uncultured bacterium
Lineage: Bacteria
Description: partial 16S ribosomal RNA
Rfam family: Bacterial small subunit ribosomal RNA
Source: RNAcentral